This 72-nucleotide transfer RNA is filed under the name Candidatus Kuenenbacteria bacterium HGW-Kuenenbacteria-1. RNAcentral's name for it is "tRNA-Lys". It matches the Rfam family "tRNA". Rfam says of the family: Transfer RNA (tRNA) molecules are approximately 80 nucleotides in length. Lineage: Bacteria; Candidatus Kueneniibacteriota. The record is from RNAcentral.
CCGCCUAUAGCUCAAUGGUAGAGCAGUAGCCUCUUAAGCUAUUGGUUCCAGGUUCGAGUCCUGGUGGGCGGA